AUUAGUGGCGAACGGGUGAGUAACACGUGGGCAAUCUGCCCUUCACUCUGGGACAAGCCCUGGAAACGGGGUCUAAUACCGGAUAACACUCUGUCCCGCAUGGGACGGGGUUGAAAGCUCCGGCGGUGAAGGAUGAGCCCGCGGCCUAUCAGCUUGUUGGUGGGGUAAUGGCCUACCAAGGCGACGACGGGUAGCCGGCCUGAGAGGGCGACCGGCCACACUGGGACUGAGACACGGCCCAGACUCCUACGGGAGGCAGCAGUGGGGAAUAUUGCACAAUGGGCGAAAGCCUGAUGCAGCGACGCCGCGUGAGGGAUGACGGCCUUCGGGUUGUAAACCUCUUUCAGCAGGGAAGAAGCGAAAGUGACGGUACCUGCAGAAGAAGCGCCGGCUAACUACGUGCCAGCAGCCGCGGUAAUACGUAGGGCGCAAGCGUUGUCCGGAAUUAUUGGGCGUAAAGAGCUCGUAGGCGGCUUGUCACGUCGGAUGUGAAAGCCCGGGGCUUAACCCCGGGUCUGCAUUCGAUACGGGCUAGCUAGAGUGUGGUAGGGGAGAUCGGAAUUCCUGGUGUAGCGGUGAAAUGCGCAGAUAUCAGGAGGAACACCGGUGGCGAAUGCAGAUCUCUGGGCCAUUACUGACGCUGAGGGAGCGAAAGCGUGUGGAGCGAACAGGAUUAGAUACCCCUGGUAGUCCACGCCGUAAAC
This 704-nucleotide ribosomal RNA is filed under the name Streptomyces sp. RNAcentral's name for it is "bacterial SSU rRNA". It matches the Rfam family "Bacterial small subunit ribosomal RNA", at positions 91 to 807 of the family's 1533-position model. Lineage: Bacteria; Bacillati; Actinomycetota; Actinomycetes; Kitasatosporales; Streptomycetaceae. The record is from RNAcentral.